RNAcentral lists this ribosomal RNA (207 nucleotides) under uncultured bacterium. RNAcentral describes it as "partial 16S ribosomal RNA". It matches the Rfam family "Bacterial small subunit ribosomal RNA", at positions 568 to 774 of the family's 1533-position model. The record is from RNAcentral.
CUCGUAGGUGGUUUGUCGCGUUGUUCGUGAAAACUCACAGCUUAACUGUGGGCGUGCGGGCGAUACGGGCAGACUAGAGUACUGCAGGGGAGACUGGAAUUCCUGGUGUAGCGGUGGAAUGCGCAGAUAUCAGGAGGAACGCCGGUGGCGAAGGCGGGUCUCUGGGCAGUAACUGACGCUGAGGAGCGAAAGCGUGGGGAGCGAACA